Molecule: transfer RNA, 76 nt
Filed under: Candidatus Margulisbacteria bacterium GWD2_39_127
Lineage: Bacteria; Bacillati; Candidatus Margulisiibacteriota
Also listed under: 3 other names
Description: tRNA-Thr
Rfam family: tRNA
About the family: Transfer RNA (tRNA) molecules are approximately 80 nucleotides in length. Their secondary structure includes four short double-helical elements and three loops (D, anti-codon, and T loops).
Source: RNAcentral
GCUCCUGUAGCUCAGUAGGUAGAGCACAUCCAUGGUAAGGAUGGGGUCGGCGGUUCAAUUCCGCCCGGGAGCUCCA